UGUCUCAUAGCUCAGUAGGCCAGAGCGCACCCCUGAUAAGGGUGAGGUCAUUGGUUCGAUUCCAAUUGAGACAA
Molecule: non-coding RNA, 74 nt
Organism: Vollenhovia emeryi
Lineage: Eukaryota; Metazoa; Arthropoda; Insecta; Hymenoptera; Formicidae
Source: the annotation of a RefSeq genome assembly